This 323-nucleotide small RNA is filed under the name Arabidopsis thaliana (thale cress). RNAcentral describes it as "ATSL083770". The record is from RNAcentral. Lineage: Eukaryota; Viridiplantae; Streptophyta; Magnoliopsida; Brassicales; Brassicaceae.
UUUUAGUCUUGUCAAAACUUUUUAGCAUUAAAAACUUCUGAGCCCAACCAAUUUUAAAUUUUUUUAAUUCCAAUCUCAAGUGUCAAAUUCGCCGAAACCCAGAAAUCAUUUAAUGCAUUUCUCGUCGAUGAACAGUGUACGUACGAACCCGGUUCUUUUGGAUUCCAACGACGCGGUCCGUACGUACAAACCGGGUUCAGUUUCGUCAGGGGCAUUUUGGUCAGUUUUUGGCUUAAUGAAAGGCCCAGCCCACAGUGUCAAAAUCUGAAAUUAAAAGUGGGUCAACGGCUACUGUGCGCAAUUUAAACCCUUCUUAGAAAUGA